GACGAACGCUGGCGGCGUGCUUAAUACAUGCAAGUCGAGCGAGGCCCCUCCUUCGGGAGGGUGUCCUAGCGGCGAACGGGUGAGUAACACGUGGGCAACCUGCCCUCAGCUCUGGGAUAACCCCGGGAAACCGGGGCGUAAUACCGGAUACGACCACAGCGGGCGAUCCGCUUGUGGUGGAAGAUUAUCGGCUGAGGAUGGGCCCGCGGCCUAUCAGCUAGUUGGUGGGGUAAGUGGCCUACCAAGGCAACGACGGGUAGCCGGCCUGAGAGGGCGACCGGCCACACUGGGACUGAGACACGGCCCAGACUCCUACGGGAGGGCAGCAGUAGGGAAUAUUGCGCAAUGGGCGAAAGCCUGACGCAGCGACGCCGCGUGAGGGAUGACGGCCUGG
Molecule: ribosomal RNA, 394 nt
Filed under: uncultured bacterium
Lineage: Bacteria
Description: bacterial SSU rRNA
Rfam family: Bacterial small subunit ribosomal RNA
Source: RNAcentral